GAUGAACGCUAGCGAUAGGCCUAACACAUGCAAGUCGAGGGGCAUCACAUGAAGUAGCAAUACGGAUGGUGGCGACCGGCGCACGGGUGAGUAACACGUAUGCAACCUGCCUUCAACAAGGGGAUAACCCGUUGAAAGACGGACUAAUACCCUAUAACACAGGGGUCCCGCAUGGGAAUAUUUGUUAAAGGACAACCGGUUGAAGAUGGGCAUGCGUUCCAUUAGCUAGUUGGCGGGGUAAGGGCCCACCAAGGCAACGAUGGAUAGGGGAACUGAGAGGUUUAUCCCCCAACUGGUACUGAGACACGGACCAGACUCCUACGGGAGGCAGCAGUGAGGAAUAUUGGUCAAUGGACGCAAGUCUGAACCAGCCACGUCGCGUGAAGGAAGACGGCCCUACGGGUUGUAAACUUCUUUUAUACGGGAAUAAAGUGCCCCACGUGUGGGGUUUUGCAAGUACCGUAUGAAUAAGGAUCGGCUAACUCCGUG
RNAcentral lists this ribosomal RNA (489 nucleotides) under uncultured bacterium. RNAcentral describes it as "bacterial SSU rRNA". It matches the Rfam family "Bacterial small subunit ribosomal RNA", at positions 28 to 507 of the family's 1533-position model. The record is from RNAcentral.